This 4437-nucleotide long non-coding RNA is filed under the name Lynx pardinus (Iberian lynx). The record is from RNAcentral. Lineage: Eukaryota; Metazoa; Chordata; Mammalia; Carnivora; Felidae.
AGAAGACCAGGGACAAGGAGGAGGGCAGGCAGGAGCGGCGGCGGCGGCCCAGGGGCACCACCGAGAGGACCGCGGCCGACGAGCUGGAAGCCUUCCUGGGGGGUGCGGCCCCGAGCGGCCANNNNNNNNNNNNNNNNNNNNNNNNNNNNNNNNNNNNNNNNNNNCACCUCCGCCGACGGCGGCCCGGCGCGGGGAUGGCCGCGGGCCUGCUCCACACUCGCUGGGGAGGCUGGGCCCGCCCUGCACCGAGCCGGCCAGCGGGCAGCGGGCAGCGGGCUGGGCCGUGCGGGGAGCCGGCCCCCAGCGCUUNAGGAGGCCGCAAGGCUGUUUACAGGGCGGGGCGCGUCCUCGUCACCGGCCGGCCCCUGCUUGCCCCUGGCCCGCCGCGCUCGCUCUCCCGGGCCCCCCACGCGCGGGCGGGCUCCGCUUCCUGCCCCUUUCGGCAUGGGGGGCAGACGCCAGGCGGCACUGGCGCCUUUUCCCGGGCCCAGGGUCCAGCUUUGCACCUGCGCUCGGGCUCGCUGCCGGCCAGGCCGGGAGGUCGUCAGACACUGUUUCUCUCGUGUUCCUCCACCACUCCACUCUGACCAUAAAGCUCUCCUGUUUUACUGCGUCUGUGUGUGCUUCUCCCUGUGAGCCGCCCCGCCUGUCCCGGGUGGCCCUGGGUUGGUGGGCAGGUCCUCAGUUCCCUGCCCUUCUCCCGGAGAGGCAGCUGCCCCCCCCCCCCGCCCCCAACCCACCGGAGGCCUUCUGGCACCACGUGGCCCAGGGAGCUGACCUGCAGGAGACUUCCCGGCAGGCCCGGCCCCACGUGUGCCCCGUCUUGUGCAGGCUGGCCAAUACAGCCAUUGUCCUUCACGCCGGUCCCAGCCCCCCCAGGCCAGGGCUGGGCGGCUGCACCCAGGAACACCCGAGGGCCUCUGGCCUGCCGAGGGCAAGCAUGCAUCUGCUCUGCCGGCCUCUGGAAGGCGCUGUCCUGUCCCAGCCACCGUUCUGCCUCUAGCCCUGCUGCUCUCUGCAUACCCCGGCCCCUCUAGCUGCCAGCAGCGCCCACCCCCCACCCCAUGGUUGCCAUGAGAACCAGGCACACAUCGGGAGGCGGGGGUGGUAGCCAGGCCAUCCCCCUUUCGGUCUGGAAAGCCUCCCCUUCCCCAGUUCCUGUGCCUAGACUAGUUGGUUUCUCACCCUGGAGGCUGCGGGCAGGGGCUGGGGACCAGGCACCAAGCUGACGUGGUGGGGACUUCCUUCAGCCCACAGCCUACAAGAUCUCCUGUCCUCGUGGAGCCCGGUAAAUGUGCGGAUUGGGCCGACACGAAACGAACUUGCCCAGGGCCCUGGAUCUAAUGGACCUACGCGGGGCAGGUGUUGGCCUUUGGAGCCAAGGGCAUCCAUGACUCAACCCUCCGCAGUUAGACGGUUCCCCAGCUCAGCAUCUGGUUUGGGAGGGGCUGGUGGGACUGGAGAAUGGAGAUCACCAUGUGGUUUGUAAGUGGCCCACGUGCAAACCUGCCCAGGGCAGUGACUGUCCUCCACGCACCUCGACUCUGAUCCCAGGGAGCCUAGGAGCAUGCCCUUGCCCUGUAGAGCCCCGGCAGCCUGGGGACAGGAGGGCUGCAGGCCCCGCUCAGCCGUGCCCAUCUGGCCCCAGGAACCUUCAGAGCUUGGCACCUCCAGCCUGGCAGAGCGGAGCAGGGCCCAGCGGGGCUGGGAGCAGCCCAUCUGCUCCUGCGAGGCCUCAGCGGAGGUGUGAAUUCCGGAGCUUGGGGCUCCUCCAGGGUCCUGCUCUGAGGCCACCGCCAAGCCACCAGCUGCCCCCGGGGUGGGGGCUGGCGGGACCGGCAGGCUGCUCCCUGGGUGGGGGUACCCCGGUUGGAGCCCAGGCCCGCACCCUGAGAACGAGGGAGCGCUUGUCAGCUGGCGCUCGGCACAGCCCAACCAACUGCCAGCAGGCCACACGGGUCCCAGGCCCACCGCACGGCCCCUUUAAAUGCGGCCCCGCCGGCCGCCGCCAGGGGCAGCACUGAGCAGCCGGCGGCCUCCGCGCCGCUGCCUCGAAGCUUCUGCCGGUGCCGGGGACGCCGCGGAGCGGAGAAGGCGGAGCGGGCGCAGGCCUGCGCAGCCCACCGGGCGCGCGCGGCGGGGAAGCAGCGCCCAGGUAAGGGAUGGGGGGCCGCUGCCCCACGGGCCCUGUCAUGGGGGGAGGGGGGGCACCCGCAAGGAUGGGGUCCUACUUCAGAGCUACACCGGCGGGUCCUCACUCCGGGCGCUCGGGGCGGGGGCAGGGCUGGGCCGCGGGGAGACCCGCGGGAGGGGCGCGUUAGGCCUGGGGCCCCUGCAAGGGCCGACCGCCCCCGUGCCCACGGGGAGGGAUGUCACCCAGCCCAGCUCCAUCCUUACCGCUGCAGAGGCGAAGCGGAGCUGUCACCUCCCUGGGGCGGAGCUUCAUGCCCUGUCAUCGGACCCCCAAUUCCAGCCUGGCUUUGAGCUUAGGAUGGAAGGGAGUGGGAAGGGGACAGUCCUAUGAGCAGGGACAGAAUUGGGGUGGGCGCAAGGCUGCGAUGGGACGGGCCGCUGGGACUUCAUGGCCCUGACCCAGAAGGGCAGCCCUGCCGGCAGAAAGCCCCUGGCACACCUGGGACACAGGGUCGGCCUGACCAGAGACCCUGGCAGGUGAGCCCCCCCCCCCCCCCCCCCCCCCCCCCCCCCGCCCCCCCCCCCCCCCCCCGNGAGGUGGGGGCCCUGUCAGCACCGUCUGAGACCCUACACAACCUGUCCAGACUCCGGGUACCACAGAGGGGCUGGUGGCCCAAGUCUCAGCAUGAGCCCAGUGCAGAGGGGUGGACCCCCGCCCAGCCCCCAUCGCGGGGGCAGCAGAACCUCAGGUUGCCAUGGAGCCUUCCUGAGCUGCUGUGGAGAGGGCUCUCUCCUGAGGAGAAGCAGUGAGUGAGGGGGGGGGGGGGGGGCUUUACCCGCCCACCACCCUGCCUCCCCUGCUUGCGGCCUCCUGGCCCCAUGCUGCUCUGGGGAAGAGGGGUCGCCCUGAGCUGGUGGCUCCCGCCCCCACAUGGUCCUGCGGCCGGCACGGGUUUCUGAGCUGCAGAGCACAGGCCGCAAAGCUGGGGAGGCUGCUCCCCGGGCCUUGUCACGACGGCCCCAACAAGCUUAAUGGGUUCCAACCACCCUAAGACACCAGGGAUCAAAAGAGGUUUCUGCAAGGGAAAGGGGGCUCUAGGGCCAAGGGAUGUUCUUUGUGGCGUGUGCUGGCCUGGGCCACACAGAAGGGCGAGGGUGGGGCAGGCCAGUCCGUCAGCCUAGGGGCGGUGCCUGGACCUGAUGGGGCCAUCUCCAUGUCUCCUGGGGCCUCAGGGCUGGGGCUUGGUUCCGGGGACUGUUCCCAGGGCAGCCACCACUGCCGUACUGGGGGAGGGUCUCCAUGUCCCACCCGGGCGGCAGGUGGCCAGGGAGACUCAGCAACUUUGUCACGGUCCAGGGACUCCCCCUCAGACCACACCAUCGGAGGGCUUGUUCUGCACUGGGCGUGAGGACGGGGCUUAAGUCACCCGUGAGUGUUGUGAGGCAAACACCCAUAAAGAAAUUUGUAAAUAAGGUUUCGCAGGAGCCUACCGUCAUCCCAGCUGGGAACACACCCCCGUUCUUCCUGCCCCAGGACACGGCUUCUACCCAGACCUGCCGAUGGUAGUGGGGGGAGGGGGAGGCCCCCCGGGGCACGGGCCUGGCCGCAGGAGCUCGGGAACCACAGCGACGGCCAUUGCCUUUCUGCCUGAUUGGCUACAUCCCAGCAGAAAGUGGCCCAGAAAGGGUGGCCCGGGGCAGGGGACAGACCCUGAGUGGCUGGACGGCUGGGUUCCUCCCGCAGGUGCUUCUGACGCCGGCAUGGAGCAAGUGCCUGGGGCCUCGGCCACCGCGGGCAGCCAGGACUGCUCCGCCCACUGGGUCCCAGGUAAGUCAGGCCAGCGUAGGGGUGUAGCCAGCUCUGGGUUGCAGAGGGGUCACCCUGACCCGCAUCUCCCACCAGGGCAAAAGCCCGGAAAGGCAGAGUGAGCUGCGACCGCCAGCCUGGGGACCUCUUUUAAAAUGACCCGCACGGACCCGCCGGACCUGUUGGUGUCGACCGUGUACCAGGACAUCAAGGUGGCGGCCCCCGGGCCCGCGUCGCGGCGCCCGCCAUGUGAGCGCCCCGUGCCCCCGCCAGCUGCGCCCGCGCCUUUCAACAAGCGCCACUGUCGCAGCUUCGACUUCCUGGAGGCGCUGGACGGGGAGGCCAUGGAGGCCCGCCCCGAGCCGCCGCCCCCGGAGCCGGCCGUGCCGCGCGCCCGACCCCGCGAUGGCGAGCCCCGGCGCCGCGCCCGCUCCAAGAGCGCGCCCCGCGCGACCCCGGGCCUGGCGCCCGCGCCCGCCCCGCCGCCGGNCCCCCGC